Molecule: unclassified non-coding RNA, 216 nt
Filed under: Hevea brasiliensis (rubber tree)
Lineage: Eukaryota; Viridiplantae; Streptophyta; Magnoliopsida; Malpighiales; Euphorbiaceae
Source: RNAcentral
UUAGUGGGAAAAUGAGUUUUAAAUAGUUGUUUAAUAAUAUUAAAGUUAGAGAGGUAUAAUGGUAAAUUUGUAUAGUUUUUAUAGUUUUAUUUUUAAGUUUGAAUGUAUUUUUUUUGAUAUUAGUAAUUAAAGAAAAAAAUUUGUUAUAUGUAAUUUUAAAAUAUUAGUUUAUUUGUGUAUGUUUUUUAUUUUGUUUAAGGUUUAUUUUUUUAUUGA